Molecule: non-coding RNA, 76 nt
Organism: Podarcis lilfordi (Lilford's wall lizard)
Lineage: Eukaryota; Metazoa; Chordata; Lepidosauria; Squamata; Lacertidae
Source: the annotation of a GenBank genome assembly
GCAUAGCUCAGUUGGUUAGUGUGUGGUGCUGACAUCACCAAGGUUGCAGGUUCAGUUCCCGUAAGGGACAGCUGCA